Molecule: ribosomal RNA, 261 nt
Filed under: uncultured prokaryote
Description: partial 16S ribosomal RNA
Rfam family: Bacterial small subunit ribosomal RNA
Source: RNAcentral
UACGUAGGUGGAGAGCGUUGUCCGGAUUUACUGGGCGUAAAGGGAGCGUAGGCGGACUUUUAAGUGAGAUGUGAAAUACCCGGGCUCAACUUGGGUGCUGCAUUUCAAACUGGAAGUCCAGAGUGCAGGAGAGGAGAAUGGAAUUCCUAGUGUAGCGGUGAAAUGCGUAGAGAUUAGGAAGAACACCAGUGGCGAAGGCGAUUCUCUGGACUGUAACUGACGCUGAGGCUCGAAAGCGUGGGGAGCAAACAGGAUUAGAUA